GAUGAACGCUGGCGGCGUGCUUAACACAUGCAAGUCGAACGGGAAUUAUUUUAUUGCAACUUCGGUCGAUUUAAUUUAAUUCUAGUGGCGGACGGGUGAGUAACGCGUGGGUAACCUGCCUUAUACAGGGGGAUAACAGUCAGAAAUGGCUGCUAAUACCGCAUAAGCGCACAGAGCUGCAUGGCUCAGUGUGAAAAACUCCGGUGGUAUAAGAUGGACCCGCGUUGGAUUAGCUGGUUGGUGGGGUAACGGCCCACCAAGGCGACGAUCCAUAGCCGGCCUGAGAGGGUGAACGGCCACAUUGGGACUGAGACACGGCCCAGACUCCUACGGGAGGCAGCAGUGGGGAAUAUUGCACAAUGGGGGAAACCCUGAUGCAGCGACGCCGCGUGAAGGAAGAAGUAUCUCGGUAUGUAAACUUCUAUCAGCAGGGAAGAUAGUGACGGUACCUGACUAAGAAGCCCCGGCUAACUACGUG
Molecule: ribosomal RNA, 478 nt
Filed under: uncultured bacterium
Lineage: Bacteria
Description: partial 16S ribosomal RNA
Rfam family: Bacterial small subunit ribosomal RNA
Source: RNAcentral